RNAcentral lists this ribosomal RNA (207 nucleotides) under uncultured bacterium. Its description in RNAcentral is "partial 16S ribosomal RNA". It matches the Rfam family "Bacterial small subunit ribosomal RNA", at positions 568 to 774 of the family's 1533-position model. The record is from RNAcentral.
CGCGUAGGCGGUUGAGUAAGUCAAAUGUGAAAUCCCAGGGCUUAACCUGGGAACUGCAUUCGAUACUGCUUAACUAGAGUAUGGUAGAGGGAAGUGGAAUUCCGGGUGUAGCGGUGAAAUGCGUAGAUAUCCGGAGGAACACCAGUGGCGAAGGCGACUUCCUGGGCCAAUACUGACGCUGAGGUGCGAAAGCGUGGGGAGCAAACA